RNAcentral lists this long non-coding RNA (667 nucleotides) under Mus caroli (Ryukyu mouse). RNAcentral's name for it is "lncRNA (MGP_CAROLIEiJ_G0002358.1)". The record is from RNAcentral. Lineage: Eukaryota; Metazoa; Chordata; Mammalia; Rodentia; Muridae.
AGUCUCACUAGGCUGGUUGGAGAGGAAGAGGAAAGGUCCAGAGAUGACAGGCACAUGGAGAGACAGGCCCCAGUGGAGGUGAGCAGACCGGACCAAUGGCCUCUCCCAGCACCUCCAUAACAGCUGGAACAUUCAAAGCAGUUCCAUCACCCUAAAUAUUCACUUGUGCGUCCUCUUUGGAGUCAGCCACACCUUGUCUACCAGUCCCUGGCAACCGCCAAUGAUGAAUUGAAUUCUACAAUGACAGUGAGGCUAUGUGCACCUCUCCCACCGACCUAUGUGUCCUUUUGCCCUGUGUGGAGCGGAUGAGUACACACAAUUCACUCAGGGAGAAGGAGAAACAGCGGGACUUUAGAAACUUCUUUCAGACCCCUGCUUCUGCAGCCUUAUCCACCAAGGCCACGCCCUCAGCGCAGGGGUUCUCAGAGCAGUCAGGCACGUGUUCAAAGGGCCUCAUUAGGAAGUAGAGGCUGGCUUUGAACCUGAAGUCUUCUGGCCCCAACCUCUUGAGCCCCUGUUAGGAUUACAGGAGCACACCUGCCCUGGCUCCCUCUGGUAUUUUAAUUGAGACUAAAUUCCACUGGAACUGCUUAUGGAUAGAGGGCGGCUUGACAUUCUCUUAAGAGUGCCGAGCUGUUUUUUACCCAAGUAAAAAGUCUUUCUUUGC